UACAGAGGUCCCGAGCGUUGUUCGGAUUCACUGGGCGUAAAGGGUGCGUAGGUGGCCAUGAAAGUUCGAUGUGAAAUCUCCGGGCUUAACCCGGAAAAGGCAUUGAAAACUCUGUGGCUGGAGGUUUGGAGGGGGGACUGGAAUUCUCGGUGUAGCAGUGAAAUGCGUAGAUAUCGAGAGGAACACCAGUGGCGAAGGCGGGUCCCUGGACAACACCUAACACUGAGGCACGAAAGCUAGGGGAGCAAACAGG
Molecule: ribosomal RNA, 253 nt
Filed under: uncultured bacterium
Lineage: Bacteria
Description: partial 16S ribosomal RNA
Rfam family: Bacterial small subunit ribosomal RNA
Source: RNAcentral